GAAACCCUGCAGCGUGCCUAAACAUGCAAGUCGCACCGAACGGACGAGAAGCUUGCUUCUCUGAUGUUAGCGGCGGACGGGUGAGUAACACGUGGAUAACCUACCUAUAAGACUGGGAUAACUUCGGGAAACCGGAGCUAAUACCGGAUAAUAUUUUGAACCGCAUGGUUCAAAAGUGAAAGGCGGUCUUGCUGUCACUUAUAGAUGGAUCCGCGCUGCAUUAGCUAGUUGGUAAGGUAACGGCUUACCAAGGCAACGAUGCAUAGCCGACCUGAGAGGGUGAUCGGCCACACUGGAACUGAGACACGGUCCAGACUCCUACGGGAGGCAGCAGUAGGGGAUCUUCCGCAAUGGGCGAAAGCCUGACGGAGCAACGCCGCGUGAGUGAUGAAGGUCUUCGGAUCGUAAAACUCUGUUAUUAGGGAAGAACAUAUGUGUAAGUAACUGUGCACAUCUUGACGGUACCUAAUCAGAAAGCCACGGCUAACUACGUGCCAGCAGCCGCGGUAAU
Molecule: ribosomal RNA, 511 nt
Filed under: uncultured bacterium
Lineage: Bacteria
Description: bacterial SSU rRNA
Rfam family: Bacterial small subunit ribosomal RNA
Source: RNAcentral